Transfer RNA from Ipomoea nil (Japanese morning glory), 84 nucleotides. It matches the Rfam family "tRNA". Rfam says of the family: Transfer RNA (tRNA) molecules are approximately 80 nucleotides in length. Their secondary structure includes four short double-helical elements and three loops (D, anti-codon, and T loops). Further hydrogen bonds mediate the characteristic L-shaped molecular structure. tRNAs have two regions of fundamental functional importance: the anti-codon, which is responsible for specific mRNA codon recognition, and the 3' end, to which the tRNAs corresponding amino acid is attached (by aminoacyl-tRNA synthetases). tRNAs cope with the degeneracy of the genetic code in two manners: having more than one tRNA (with a specific anti-codon) for a particular amino acid; and 'wobble' base-pairing, i.e. permitting non-standard base-pairing at the 3rd anti-codon position. The record is from Rfam. Lineage: Eukaryota; Viridiplantae; Streptophyta; Magnoliopsida; Solanales; Convolvulaceae.
GUCAGGAUGGCCAAGUGGUCUAAGGCACCAGACUCAAGUUUUGGUCCUCGUGAGAAGGCUUGGGUUCAAAUCCCACAUUUGACA